CUAGAUAAAAAAUGAUAACGGUAAUCAAUUGUGAUAAAAACAGUUAUAUAUUACAUUGCAAUAUUUUAAGAUUUAUUUUAUUAGUGACAGAUUCACAUUAAACUUUUGAAGUAUUUUAAAAAUCUUCCAAUUAUGAUGAAAAAAAUUGUUUAUUGUGUCAUGAUUGUUAUGUUACUUUCAAUAACAAUGGUGUUGUCAGAAUAUAAAAAAUGUUCAGUAAUUGGAGAAUUUUGUUCUAUUGCUGAGGAUUGCUGCAAACCAUUCCACUGCCUUGGUUUCAUGAAAAAAUGUGUCUCAUAAAAUAGAAAAGCCCAUCCAUUAGACCUGUUUGAAAUUUCAACUUCAUUUUUUAUAAAUUCAAUAAUUAAACAAUAAAAUGGAAAUUUAAUGAA
Long non-coding RNA from Cotesia glomerata, 392 nucleotides. RefSeq lists it as uncharacterized. The transcript has 3 exons. Lineage: Eukaryota; Metazoa; Arthropoda; Insecta; Hymenoptera; Braconidae. The record is from RefSeq and is a predicted model, not a curated record.